GUCUUUUUGAUUAUAAUCUAAAGUCUAACCUGCCCACUGAAAUUUUUGAAGGGCCGCGGUAUUUUGACUGUGCAAAGGUAGCAUAAUCAUUAGUCUUUUAAUUGGAGGCUUGUAUGAAUGGUUGGAUGAGGUAUUAACUGUCUCAAUUUAAUAAAUAAUAGAAUUUUAUUUUUGAGUUAAAAAGCUCAAAUUUUAUUAAAAGACGAGAAGACCCUAUAGAUCUUUAUAAUUAAAUUUAUAAUAAUUUUUUGGAUUAAAUUUAUUUUUAUAAAAAUAAUUAUUAUAUUGGGGUGAUAAAAAAAUUUAUAAAACUUUUUUUGUAAAUAAACAAUUAUAUUUGAUUAAUUGAUCCAUUUUUUGUGAUUAUAAGAUUAAGUUACCUUAGGGAUAACAGCGUAAUUUUUUUGGAGAGUUCUUAUCGAUAAAAAAGAUUGCGACCUCGAUGUUGAAUUAAAGGUUAAUUUUAGGUGUAGAAGUUUAAAAUUUUGGUCUGUUCGACCAUUAAAUC
RNAcentral lists this ribosomal RNA (508 nucleotides) under Parachauliodes buchi. Its description in RNAcentral is "partial large subunit ribosomal RNA". The stretch from base 387 to 508 matches the Rfam family "Bacterial large subunit ribosomal RNA", at positions 2473 to 2594 of the family's 2925-position model. Lineage: Eukaryota; Metazoa; Arthropoda; Insecta; Megaloptera; Corydalidae. The record is from RNAcentral.